UACGUAGGGUGCAAGCGUUGUCCGGAAUCACUGGGCGUAAAGGGUGCGUAGGCGGGUCUUUAAGUCAGGGGUGAAAUCCUGGAGCUCAACUCCAGAACUGCCUUUGAUACUGAGGAUCUUGAGUUCGGGAGAGGUGAGUGGAACUGCGAGUGUAGAGGUGAAAUUCGUAGAUAUUCGCAAGAACACCAGUGGCGAAGGCGGCUCACUGGCCCGAUACUGACGCUGAGGCACGAAAGCGUGGGGAGCAAACAGGG
This 254-nucleotide ribosomal RNA is filed under the name uncultured bacterium. RNAcentral describes it as "partial 16S ribosomal RNA". It matches the Rfam family "Bacterial small subunit ribosomal RNA", at positions 524 to 777 of the family's 1533-position model. The record is from RNAcentral.